UUUGAUAAGCUAACAUGAGACAG
This 23-nucleotide microRNA is filed under the name Ornithorhynchus anatinus (platypus). RNAcentral's name for it is "Oan-Mir-599_5p (mature (guide))". Lineage: Eukaryota; Metazoa; Chordata; Mammalia; Monotremata; Ornithorhynchidae. The record is from RNAcentral.